CCUCAAGCACUGAGAUGCAGUGCUUUAAUAAACUGCUGUGCCACUCAGGAGAAAGUGUGAGAGAGAGAGAGAAGGGGAGAGAGGCUUUUUUCUUGUACGUUGUAGGUAUGAUGUGGCAGUGUUGUCGGGGGAGACGUGGGUCCGUGGUCAUUAUGGGAUGGAGGGGCUAGUGACCAGGGAGUGUCCAGACAGCUUUACUGAUGAGGAGUCAGACAAACACAACUCUACAGGGUGAAAUAGACGGGGCGUGAGAUGUUCCCAAAUGCCGGAAGUGUGGCCUGAGUGAAAGAGUUUGGGAACCCCUGCUCUAAUGAGUGUUGUGCCUCUGUGUGUCUGCCGUGUGGAGAUGGGAAGGACCUCUUGGCUGUGUACAGAACUCUGGGGCCUUACAUCUGUAACAUCAGCCUGGCCGUGCUGACUGACACAUGCUGGGCUUUCCUCCUGGAGGUUUCUGGGGAUACAAGGCCUGGGAGGAGAGAACCUAUCGUCCAUGGACGUUCAGUUCAGUGGGAGGGGCCAUGACACUGUGUGAUUUUUGACCUUCAUCGUCCAGGGCGACGUCUUUUUGAUUGGACACUGUUAAACCCAGGGCCGUAUGAGAUCAAUGCCUCAACAACAAAUGGAAAAUGUCAAAAAGUGGUGUACAUAGGAGCCGGACUCAAAAGUGACCGCAAAUGCUAUUGUUAUGCUUUUAUUAUAAAGGUGUAUUUUAUAUGGUGAAAAUGUUCUUCCCCAAACUUGAAACUCAGACUCUGCUUAUGUACGGGAGUUGUAGCGAUGAGACAAGAUAGUAGCUACUAAAAAAACAAUUGGAUACCACGAAAUUGGGGAGAAAAAGGGGGUAAAAUUCAACACAAAAAAACACAAAAA
Molecule: long non-coding RNA, 870 nt
Organism: Oncorhynchus mykiss (rainbow trout)
Lineage: Eukaryota; Metazoa; Chordata; Actinopteri; Salmoniformes; Salmonidae
Source: RefSeq, a predicted model, not a curated record